UAGGGAAUAUUAGAAAUGGACGAAAGUCUGAUCUAGCAACACCGCGUGUGCGAAGAAGGCCUUCGGGUCGUAAAGCACUUUUUGGAAGGAAUAGGAAGGAAUGUACUUCCAGAAUAAGUCUCGGCUAACUACGUGCCAGCAGCCGCGGUAACACGUAGGAGGCAAACGUUAUCCGGAUUUACUGGGCGUAAAGCGCGUUUAGGUGGUACUGUAAGUAGGGCGUGAAAGCUCCUGGCUCAACUGGGAGAGGCCGUUCUAAACUACAGAACUAGAGGAUGGUAGAGGGAGGUGGAAUUCCAGGUGUAGCGGUGGAAUGCGCAGAGAUCUGGAGGAACACCGGUGGCGAAGGCGGCCUCCUGGACCAUUCCUGACACUCAGACGCGAAAGCUAGGGUAGCAAACG
This 402-nucleotide ribosomal RNA is filed under the name uncultured prokaryote. RNAcentral describes it as "bacterial SSU rRNA". It matches the Rfam family "Bacterial small subunit ribosomal RNA", at positions 355 to 774 of the family's 1533-position model. The record is from RNAcentral.